Long non-coding RNA from Saccostrea cuccullata (small rock oyster), 1304 nucleotides. RefSeq lists it as uncharacterized. The record is from RefSeq and is a predicted model, not a curated record. NCBI's taxonomy places the organism in Eukaryota, Metazoa, Mollusca, Bivalvia, Ostreida, Ostreidae. The transcript has 8 exons.
UUGAAAAGAUCAAUAAUGGCAGAUAAACAAUGUGGCAUGCAGUCUGGUCACCAUCGGACAGUUUUGACACCCGUAUACCCGGAUUUCUACCAAUUACCUCUGUAACCUUUGUUGUGUUCAUCACACAGAUGAUGGACCACUCUACUUCCUUUGACAACAGGUGCCCCUACAGAUUCACAAAGUUCCAGUGUUGAGUUUCCAUGACCCCUAUUCAUCCACGACAGGAAAAGGAAUAGAGUUGACAGGACUUCCCGCACUGUCCCUGGUAGCAGUUUAUGAGGGAACCAACCGCAGUAGACAUAGCACGCUUCAUCAAAUAUGCACCAGAUGCAGCGGCACUGUCUCCAUCACUGGUGAAAUGGGAUAUGACUAGUGGCCGGUCAUCACUUUGUAACUCACCAACACAAUUAGCGGCCAAUCGCUUCUCGUCUCCAAUGGUGGUCUCCGGAGGAAUGGUUGCAGUGCAGUCUUCGUGUCCUGGGCAGGUCUGUUGCAUGUUGGUGGCUGACGCUGGUUCAGUAUAUGCACCAAGAAGCAUACCACACAUACCCUCUGUUGUAAGACUGGUACCCAGGUGACCGACAGCCAUGGCCACAUUCAGCUGUGCAGCUCUUCGUCCCUUGCCAGAUCUUCUCACCUCUUCGUAAAGCUUUUCUCGGUGACUGGUAUAGUGGCACUUCUUACAUCGAAUGGAAAGGAUCCAUGCCAGGCUUCGUUUUUCCUCCCCAUGCUGAUUCCAGUCCAGUUGACCAUCACAGGCUGGAAAAUUCUAUUCCAUGUAGGUGUCCACUGGCUGGACCUCACUUGGCCUGGGUCGUAAAAACUUCAUCUCGCUGCUUCGGCUCUUGGCAUCUAUAACUGCAAACACUCCAUUUUUCUGUGGCCGUACAAUGUCCUGAAACUCUUCUUUACUUAGUCUUCUUAUGGGAACCAGAGAUUGGACUGGGCUGGUGGUCCCUAUUUUCUUCUGGCCUUUGUUGUGAGGAAUACUUCCUUUUUUGUAUUGAUGUUGAUGCAACCAUCUUGGUCCUUUUUUUGGCAUGAGCUGCCAGGACUACUAAGAGAAACUCCAUUCUUUGAUGACUGAUGGAAAAGCCUCAUCACCCCCCACUGCUUAAGAAUCCCUUAUCUUAAUCACCAGUCAUUAAUCGGUGAUCACUGUUACCAAAGCUCCAAGGUGCGCAUGAUGCAACUUCCUGGAUGGUGUGUAGGCUGUUUGUCAACAUGUGAAUCCCACGUGCAUUUCGGGGUAGGUAAGUUUACUAUCGAUUUUCUUUCUUAAAAGCUGCAUAAGGCAUAUUUUU